Molecule: microRNA, 23 nt
Filed under: Pan troglodytes verus polyomavirus 2a
Lineage: Floreoviria; Shotokuvirae; Cossaviricota; Papovaviricetes; Sepolyvirales; Polyomaviridae
Also listed under: 1 other name
Description: ptvpv2a-miR-P1-5p
Gene: ptvpv2a-miR-P1-5p
Source: miRBase by way of RNAcentral
UCUGGAAGAACCUCUAGGUACAC